RNAcentral lists this ribosomal RNA (333 nucleotides) under Patelloida lentiginosa. Its description in RNAcentral is "partial 12S ribosomal RNA". Lineage: Eukaryota; Metazoa; Mollusca; Gastropoda; Lottiidae. The record is from RNAcentral.
GCACUAAUCUCCCCAGGGAAACCUGGCCCUUAAUUCGAUAAUCCACGAUCAUCUUACCUUCCCUUGUUUUACUAAACCCCGAAAGGUUAGUGAAAGUCAGCUUGCAUACCGCCGUUGUUCAGCUUAUACCAAAAGGGGCAAAAAAUAAGCAACGCAGCAUGACGCCCCGGUGGCUUGUGCUACCAAUUCAGGUAAACGUGUAGCCUAUGGGAAGGGGCUGCUGGGUUGCACUGAAAGCUUUCCACGGACCCCCGCGAUAAUUCGCCUGGUAAAGAAGGACUUGGAAGUAAUACCCCCAAAAAAAGGGGCUAUGAAUUCAGCUCUAGUGCGCGU